This 811-nucleotide ribosomal RNA is filed under the name Xyleborus aries. RNAcentral describes it as "eukaryotic LSU rRNA". It matches the Rfam family "Eukaryotic large subunit ribosomal RNA", at positions 388 to 887 of the family's 3401-position model. Lineage: Eukaryota; Metazoa; Arthropoda; Insecta; Coleoptera; Curculionidae. The record is from RNAcentral.
UUUCAGAGUACGUGAAACCGUUUAGGGGUAAACCUGAGAAACCCGAAAGGUCGAAGGGAGAAAUUCAUUCGCGUCUCGACGCAGGCGUGGGACGGGGUCGAGCGACGGGACGUCGCGCGUUCUUCGGAACCGCGCGUCUCGCGCCCUCCGUCCUUCGAACCGGCGGCGAACGCGUGCACUUUUCUCCUGGUAGGACGUCGCGAUCCGUCGGGCGUCGGUCUACGACCUGCGGUGGAGACCGUCCGUCGCGUCUUUCGUACGUGCGGACGGACCCGCUCGUUCCGGCCGACUCGCUCGACGGUAUACGUAAACCGGUCGGAGGCCGCUCGUAACGCAAAUUUUUUUAUUUGCGUCAAGGAGCGUUCGACCCGUCGCAAGCGCGCCACGUGCGUCGGCACGCGGACCCGGUGCCGCGUCCGACCUCUGGUGACUGUUGGCGACGGUGUUCUCGGACAGACCUCUCUCGUUUUUUGUCGUUUCUCGGCAAAAUUCGAAUGACCGAUCGGCGACGCUAUAGCUUUGGGUACUUUCAGGACCCGUCUUGAAACACGGACCAAGGAGUCUAGCAUGUACGCGAGUCAUUGGGAAUCGCUAAACCUAAAGGCGUAAUGAAAGUGAAGGUCUCCCACUAAUGGGAGACCGAGGGAAGACGGACGGUCGCGUGCCGACCGUCCCGCAUUCCCGGGGCGUCUCGUUCACAUCGCGUGAAGAGGCGCACCAAGAGCGUACACGCUGGGACCCGAAAGAUGGUGAACUAUGCCUGGUCAGGACGAAGUCAGGGGAAACCCUGAUGGAGGUCCGUAGCGAUUCU